RNAcentral lists this microRNA (22 nucleotides) under Glycine max (soybean). RNAcentral's name for it is "gma-miR5037a". The record is from miRBase by way of RNAcentral. Lineage: Eukaryota; Viridiplantae; Streptophyta; Magnoliopsida; Fabales; Fabaceae.
GCCUCAAAGGCUUCCACUACUG